AGAGUUUGAUCCUGGCUCAGGAUUAACGCUGGCGGUAUGUAUAAUACAUGCAAGUCGAGCGCUCACUUCGGUGAGAGCGGCGAACGGGUGAGUAACACGUUGGUAGCUGCCCCACACUCAGGGAUAACCCACAGAAAUGUGGACUAAUACCGGAUGGCCCCGCAAGGGUAAAGCUUUUGCGGUGUGGGAGGCGCCUGCGGCCUAUCAGCUUGUUGGUAAGGUAACGGCUUACCAAGGCUUUGACGGGUAGCUGGUCUGAGAGGAUGACCAGUCACAAUGGGACUGAGACACGGCCCAUACUCCUACGGGAGGCAGCAGUAAAGAAUCUUCCGCAAUGGGGGAAACCCUGACGGAGCAAUACCGCGUGGAUGAUGAAGGUCGAAAGAUCGUAAAGUCCUUUUCUGGAGGAAGAAUUUUGACGGUACUCCAGGAAUAAGCACCGGCUAACUCCGUGCCAGCAGCCGCGGUAAUACGGAGGGUGCAAGCGUUGUCCGGAAUUAUUGGGCGUAAAGCGUCCGCAGGCGGUCUGUUAAGUCGAAUAUUAAAUCUUGAAGCCCAACUUUGAGGCUGUAUUCGAAACUGGUAGACUAGAGAACUUCAGAGGUACGUGGAAUUCUGUGUGUAGGGGUUAAAUCCGUAGAUACACAGAGGAACACCAAAAGCGAAGGCAGCGUACUGGGGAGUUUCUGACGCUCAUGGACGAAAGCGUAGGUAGCGAACGGGAUUAGAUACCCCGGUAGUCUACGCCGUAAACGAUGGAUACUAGGUGUUGGAUGGUUCGACCCAUUCAGUGCCGAAGCUAACGCAUUAAGUAUCCCGCCUGUGGAGUACGAGCGCAAGCUUAAAACAUAAAGGAAUAGACGGGGACCCACACAAGCGGUGGAGCAUCUGGUUUAAUUCGACAAUAAGCGAGGAACCUUACCUGGGUUUGACAUCCCGAGAAUUUGCUGGAAACAGUGAAGUGCCUUAUGGAACUCGGUGACAGGUGCUGCAUGGUUGUCGUCAGCUCGUGCCUUGAGGUGUUCGGUUAAGUCCGUAAACGAGCGCAACCCAUGUUCUGUGUUGUAUUUUUCACAGGAGACUGCCGAUUCAAAGUCGGAGGAAGGUAUGGAUGACGUCAAAUCAGCAUGGCCCUUAUACCCAGGGCUACACAGGUGCUACAAUGGCUAGUACAGAGGGGAGCAAUAUCGUAAGAUGGAGCAAAUCCUUAAAGCUAGUCUUAGUUCGAAUUGAGAGCUGCAACUCGCUCUCAUGAAGUUGGAAUCGCUAGUAACCGCGAAUCAGCAAUGUCGCGGUGAAUAUGUUCCUGGGUCUUGUACUCACCGCCCGUCAUGCUACGAAAGGUGGAGGCACCCGAAGUACCCUUAGCUUUAGGCGGGGUCCUAAGGUGAAGCCACUGAUUGGAGUAAAGUCGUAACAAGGUA
RNAcentral lists this ribosomal RNA (1424 nucleotides) under metagenome. RNAcentral's name for it is "bacterial SSU rRNA". It matches the Rfam family "Bacterial small subunit ribosomal RNA". The record is from RNAcentral.